UGCAGCUACUGACCCAUUCCUUUCAUCACCACCUAAGAGCACUUGUAAAUGAGCCUCACGAAGAUCCCGACCAAGUAAAGACAAUGCCUGACUGUUUGGAAUUGCAACUCUACGCAAUCUGCGACGUCUGGUGACUUUGGACUCGCAAGAGUGCUCAUCUUCGAGGUGGGAACACAGAGAUGCGAUGUCGAAAUCUUCGUAACAAUAGGGACAUGGGAAAUCGGGUCGGACCUCGUCUUCUACCUCGAAAUCAUCGAUGCUCAACCGAUCUAAGUGGGAACUCUGAAUCUGAUGAUGGUGCUGCAAGGUGUAUUGCCUUUUUGCGGCAGCUAGGCGAGAGGUCCAGAAAUCAGAGUCCAUUUCCCUUGAAAGAUCGAAG
This 379-nucleotide unclassified non-coding RNA is filed under the name Hevea brasiliensis (rubber tree). Lineage: Eukaryota; Viridiplantae; Streptophyta; Magnoliopsida; Malpighiales; Euphorbiaceae. The record is from RNAcentral.